AGGCCGAAAGGCGUAGGCGAUGGACAACAGGUUGAUAUUCCUGUACCACCUAAAUCCGCUUGAACGAUGGGGGGACGCAGGAGGAUAAGGAAAGCGCGCUGCUGGUUAUGCGCGUCCAAGCCGUGAGGAAGUUGAGCAGGCAAAUCCACUCAACACUAAUUCCAGGCGGUUAUGGGGAGGGAAAUUUAGUACCGAAGUUCCUGAUUUCACACUGCCAAGAAAAGCCUCUAGUGAGGAAAUAGGUGCCCGUACCGCAAACCGACACAGGUAGGCACGGUGAGUAACCGAAGAUGAUCGGGAGAACUCUCGUUAAGGAACUCGGCAAAAUGACCCCGUAACUUCGGGAGAAGGGGUGCUUCUUUUAAGGAGAAGCCGCAGUGAAAAGGCCCAAGCGACUGUUUAGCAAAAACACAGGUCUCUGCAAAGCCGUAAGGCGAAGUAUAGGGGCUGACACCUGCCCGGUGCUGGAAGGUUAAGGGGAAUGGUUAGGGACUUCGUCCCGAAGCUGUGAACCGAAGCCCCAGUAAACGGCGGCC
Molecule: ribosomal RNA, 536 nt
Filed under: Terribacillus saccharophilus
Lineage: Bacteria; Bacillati; Bacillota; Bacilli; Caryophanales; Bacillaceae
Description: bacterial LSU rRNA
Rfam family: Bacterial large subunit ribosomal RNA
Source: RNAcentral